RNAcentral lists this long non-coding RNA (2037 nucleotides) under Scleropages formosus (Asian bonytongue). RNAcentral describes it as "lncRNA (ENSSFOG00015028571.1)". Lineage: Eukaryota; Metazoa; Chordata; Actinopteri; Osteoglossiformes; Osteoglossidae. The record is from RNAcentral.
UCCGGCCUUGUGACCCCAUGAGGAUGCGUCACCGCAGUAACUGACAAGAGGUGGAAGAGUUACCAAGACAACAGCUCAUAACACUGGCAUAAUAUGCUAGAUAGAGUUGCACUGUGAACUUGGAAGUUUCCACAAUUACAGUUUUUGCCCCCGGGGAGCACAUUUUUGAUUUUUUUACAGGAAAGGCUCUGCUUUGAUCUAACGGCUAAUGUGGAAAGGCACACACACACACACACACACACACACACACACACACACACACUGGCUGAGGUCACGUGUUCCAAACAGGGUCGCGGUGAACCGGAACCUAACCCAGCAACACAGGGUGCAAGGCUGGAGGGGGAGGGGAUACACCCAGGACGGGACGCCAGUCCGUCACAAGGCACCCCAAGCAGGACUCGAAUCGCAGACCCACCGGAGAGCAGGACCUGGCCAAGCCCGCUGCACCACCGUGCCCCCUAAUGUGGAAAGUAAAAGACAUAAUUGGAAAAUCAGUAUGGCAAAUUUUAGCAUCUGUGAUGUAAACGUGGUUACAGGUACAACCUGAGCAGCGGUCUGUCAGCAAUCUGUUUACCGCUGCGAUUCGGGAUGAGUGGAGCUGAGCGGGGUGAUCACACAGAGGACUGCGGAAGAAGAGGAGAACUCCUUUGUGCCCCUCCUGCGUCCUGGCUGAAGCGAUGGCUGUGGCGUUACCAGAAUCUACGAGUCUUGAAGGAGGAGUGUGAGGCAGUCCCUCCACUUUCAGCCCGGAGGUGGAUAAUUAUGGGCUCUGUCAUCAUGUUAGCACUGAUUUUCAUGGUGCUGCUUCUGUUCUGGAAUUAUCAGUGUACCCUUGUUGAUAAAUUGUGCCAAGGCAAGGAGGAAAGCUCCAUGUUCCCAUUGUUUGGAGACUGGGAUGAAAAUCUUGCCAAAGAAAAGCAGGUCUGAGAGGGGGGAGUCAGUGGGCUGUGGCCGUUCUCCUGUAUUUAACUAUAUUUAUCUAGACUCGUAGAGUGUACUGCAGUGGAGGAAUAGUGGGAAUAGAAAACAGGAAACUCAAACCUGGUGCCCAAUAAGCAUAUUAAGAAGUGGGCACACAAGGAAAAAAUCUGGCUCUUAUGACUUUAAACAAUAACCAUUCCCCUCAUUUAUUUUUAUUGUUUCGCUGUUGUAGUUGUUGAUCUGAUAGUAACAUAUUGUAUACAAUUGCUUACUAAUUCAAAAUUUUACCACAAGAGGGAGGCAUGUGGCAAAGAUUAUCCGAUUACCAUUUUUUGUAAUAUAAAUUCUAAAGUUUAUCGUUACCCCCAGGAAAACAAGUUUUGAUUAUUGUUUUGAUUAUCAUUUGUCUUAAUAAUUUACAUCACUAUGUAUAAUGAUUCUAGUUGAACCACUGUGUGCCUUGAGAUCUCUGCUUAAUGGAUUGUAAUAUAAUAUUUUAUUCGGUGUCUCCCGUAUGGUUUCCCAUUUUAUAUGGAAUUUUAGGAGGCAAUGAAAAGUUAACGCAGUGAGUCCUUUAUGGAGACUAGAGAAGAGUUCUGCUGUUAUGAUGGUUAAUUAUGAAAGGUGAAAAGCAAAAUCAAAAUAAGGACUCCUGAAAGCACACCUUGUGUAUGCAUGUGCCACCAUAGUAAUGAUGUUAUGAAAGAUUGAUAGAAGGGCUGCAAUGUAAUGUUAUUUUUACUCUUUUUAAAGUUGCCAUUGAUCUAAAAUGUUGUUCUAAAAGGGGAUCAUACAUGAAAGCAUGAUUGAACAGUUAACGGUCAGUGACCCAGCAAGACAUCACAGUACUUUGUCUGGUAAUUCACAACAUUCUUGAGUAGAAGUAUUUUACUUGCACACAGCUGAUGCAGACAACAUUACAAGAGCACUAGUGGCCUUGCCUAAAAGCAGGUAGAAAGCCCUUGAAAAUGCUUAAGAAAUUAAAUUUCAGACUCACGUAAUGUAGGAAAUUCAGUUUAGUACUGCUGUAACAUUGGUUGCAGAUGCUGUGCUUGAAACAAUUCACAUAUUUUAAACAAUUAUCUGUUUUACAAUAAAAUUAACAGUGAACAACCA